Molecule: ribosomal RNA, 252 nt
Filed under: uncultured bacterium
Lineage: Bacteria
Description: partial 16S ribosomal RNA
Rfam family: Bacterial small subunit ribosomal RNA
Source: RNAcentral
UACGUAGGUCCCGAGCGUUGUCCGGAUUUAUUGGGCGUAAAGCGAGCGCAGGUGGUUUAUUAAGUCUGGUGUAAAAGGCAGUGGCUCAACCAUUGUAUGCAUUGGAAACUGGUAGACUUGAGUGCAGGAGCGGAGAGUGGAAUUCCAUGUGUAGCGGUGAAAUGCGUAGAUAUAUGGAGGAACACCGGUGGCGAAAGCGGCUCUCUGGCCUGUAACUGACACUGAGGCUCGAAAGCGUGGGGAGCAAACAGG